AAUUCGUGGUGUGGACAAGCUCUUAAUAGUUCUUUGUAUCUCUCCCAAGCAUCGAAAAGAGAUUCACCAUUCUGUUGUGUAAACUUGGUAAUUUGGUUACGCAUGACU
Molecule: small nucleolar RNA, 108 nt
Organism: Lathyrus oleraceus (garden pea)
Lineage: Eukaryota; Viridiplantae; Streptophyta; Magnoliopsida; Fabales; Fabaceae
Source: RefSeq, a predicted model, not a curated record